RNAcentral lists this ribosomal RNA (202 nucleotides) under Peptostreptococcus russellii. RNAcentral describes it as "partial 16S ribosomal RNA". It matches the Rfam family "Bacterial small subunit ribosomal RNA", at positions 1 to 192 of the family's 1533-position model. The record is from RNAcentral. Lineage: Bacteria; Bacillati; Bacillota; Clostridia; Peptostreptococcales; Peptostreptococcaceae.
UUUUAACGAGAGUUUGAUCCUGGCUCAGGAUGAACGCUGGCGGCGUGCUUAACACAUGCAAGUCGAGCGCGGUCCCUUUGGUGCUUGCACCAGAGAAGACUGAGCGGCGGACGGGUGAGUAACGCGUGGGUAACCUGCCCUAUACACAUGGAUAACAUGCUGAAAAGCAUACUAAUACAUGAUAACGUACACUGAUGGCAUC